Molecule: ribosomal RNA, 162 nt
Filed under: Swietenia macrophylla
Lineage: Eukaryota; Viridiplantae; Streptophyta; Magnoliopsida; Sapindales; Meliaceae
Description: 5.8S ribosomal RNA
Rfam family: 5.8S ribosomal RNA
About the family: 5.8S ribosomal RNA (5.8S rRNA) is a component of the large subunit of the eukaryotic ribosome. It is transcribed by RNA polymerase I as part of the 45S precursor that also contains 18S and 28S rRNA. Functionally, it is thought that 5.8S rRNA may be involved in ribosome translocation.
Source: RNAcentral
AAACGACUCUCGGCAACGGAUAUCUCGGCUCUCGCAUCGAUGAAGAACGUAGCGAAAUGCGAUGCUUGGUGUGAAUUGCAGAAUCCCGUGAACCAUCGAGUCUUUGAACGCAAGUUGCGCCCCAAGCCGUCAGGCCGAGGGCACGUCUGCCUGGGUGUCACG